RNAcentral lists this small nucleolar RNA (107 nucleotides) under Neotoma lepida (desert woodrat). Its description in RNAcentral is "Small nucleolar RNA SNORA8". It matches the Rfam family "Small nucleolar RNA SNORA8", at positions 32 to 139 of the family's 139-position model. From Rfam's summary of the family: ACA8 is a member of the H/ACA class of snoRNA that guide the sites of modification of uridines to pseudouridines. The record is from Rfam by way of RNAcentral. Lineage: Eukaryota; Metazoa; Chordata; Mammalia; Rodentia; Cricetidae.
UUUCCUGCUGGUGUGUUCAAAAGACAGUGCAAUAGAAAUUCACUAUCUGGCAUCGUUGGUUUCUUGGCUUUGUGCAUGUUAAACCUGGUAUUUCUAAUGAUACAGUU